GAUUUGGAUGUCAUAUCAAAACUGUAAUCCACGGUAUAUGAACCAAGAGCCUCAUCUUCUAAUGUUGACGAUGUCGACUUCGAAUUCAUCCUAUCAGCCAGAUGAACGGUGUUAUACAAGAUGGCGGUCCGAUUUCGAUGCCGAUGCAAAUUAUACUUGAUCCGAGGAAAAUUUAACAAUAUUGAAUCGUUGAGUGAAUCAAUGAUUGAAUGGUCGAUCUUCCAUUAGGUAUUAACAGUUCCUCACCAGCAUUUGUACGAAGGAUGCGUUUAGGGUGGACUUGCAGUUAAAAUGGUAGUCUUGCAUUAAGAUGGUUAAGGAGGAAAGCCAGUGAAAGACCAAUGCUCUCUCCGUUUGCCAGCCCUUACAAUCUUUCCGUUCCAUCAUCAUGCAGCGAGUCUUCGUUACAAAAUCAACAGCGGCCUUUCUGGAACGCAUUUACAGAAGAAAAGUGCGCCAAAUCGGAGCCAUUAACCGCCAACAGAUAGUCGGCCAUCUUGCCAGCGUGACUUGCAAUCUGAUUUAUCUUUUCACUCUUAUGGUUGAAUUGGAAGCUGCCGUUUUUGAGAUAAUCCCUGUUGUCAACCCCGAAGGUUUCCCCAAAAAUCCUAGGGAAGAGUGUAAUCGAACCCUUGGAAGCAGAUUUCUUGCGCCCCCCUGUGCCAUCAUCAACGAUCUUUAAAGGGCAUCGUUACAAAAUCAACAGCAGCCUUUUUGGAAGGCAUUUAUAGAAGAAAAGUGCGCCAAAUCGGAGCCAUUAACCGCCAACAGGUAGUCGGCCAUCUUGCCAGCGUGACUUGCAAUCGGAUUUAUCUUUUCACUCCUAUGGUUGAAUUGGAAGCUGCCGUUUUUGAGGUAAUCCUGUUGUCAACCCCGAAGGUUUGCCCAAAAAUCCUUGGGAAGAGUGUAAUCGAACCCUUGGAAGCAGUUUUCUUGCGCCCCCUCUGCUAUCAUCAACGAUCUUUAAAGGGGUGGACCAAUUUGGAUACUGUACCAAAGUAUAAAUACUUGGAUUCAAGGGAAAUUCAAACUACGGAAAAGCUAGUGUUCCAUACAGACAGUGUGGACAUUUAUACACUACAUCACAAGUUUCCUCCAGUCUGUGCAUGAAAGGUGGACCGAUUUGGAUGUACCCGUCAAAGUAAUUUAUCCCAGGAAAAAUGUGCCAGAUGAUGAAAGCGUUCUGAUAUUGACGGUGGGAAUAAUUAUGCGAUACACAAUCCCAUCUCUUCAGCCUGUGCGUGAAAGGUGGACCAAUAGGACGCUGUACCAAAGGAGUUGAUUCAAGGAAAAUUCAAACUACUGAUAAGCCAAACCCAAUAUAGGCAGUGUGGUUACACUAUUACGUCACUGUGUUUCACCAGUCAUUGAAUGCUGCGCCAAAAUGAACACCUGAUGCAAGGAAAAUUGAAAACUGCGGGAGAGCUAGUAUUGCAAUGUUGGCAGUAUGGACAUCUAUACAUUACUCACAUGUUCCAUCAUUCAGUGCAUGAAAGGUGGACUGAUUUGGAUGCGCGCAUGAAAGUAAUUUAUCCCAGGAAAAAUGUAUCGGUAGAUGAAAGCGUUCCGAUAUUGACGGUGGGAAUACACAACUCCAUCUCUUCAGCCUGUCCAUAAAAGGUGGACCAAUUGCCAAACUCCCUGCUCCAACGACAAUUGAACAAUGUUGAAGGGCUGGUCUAAUAUUGAAAGUGGGACACUACAUCACUCCGCCCCACAAUGUGCGCGCAAGAAAGGUGUUCUAAAAUGGUUAAAACCUGGAAGUUAGGCAACCAACCGCACUCUAUUGAUUCCAGAAGGGCACCACAGGUAUCACACUAUAUAUAGUCUAUACUAUGGACACCUACACCAAGGGAACCAAUCUGAGAUUAUAUUGGCUAUGGAGUAGUGAUGUAUACAAGAGCGGAACAAGGGGAAGUGACGUUACUCACCGCAAAAUCAACGAUGGCAAGGUUGUUACUGAGAGCAGCAGCUGCAGUCCUAGUGCAACAUUCCUCCCUCAUGAUCCUGCCCAGGCAAGGCCGGAAUUAAUAAUGCUAAUGGUAAAUUUCGCGAUUUUAAGAUUCCAGAAGGGCAGUCUUAUAAAGGUAGGAUUUUUUCUCUUUUGCAUGGUGUUUUGCAUGUCAUAUUUUUGUGUAAAGGGGGGUAAAGUGAAUAGUGCAUAUAGUGACUAAAAGGAAGAUCGCCGACUGUAUUCAGCCAACUAAGAGAGUAGUAAAUGAGUUGUGACUAUCUUCUCAGUCUAUAAUCUUGGCAAUGUAAGAUUGACCCCAAUAAUUCUUGGAAUAGUCCCUUUUGCUGCCUGAGUCAGUUUACAUCAUAUUAAAAAGUGGCUAUGAAUUCAUAGUCACGCUAAUGAUAUGAUUUGAACGGAUUCGUCUGCGAACCAGACUAUAGAGAAGUUUUGAGGUCAAUUCUUUCGUUACCAAGUGCCAUGGUUUCGAGGAUUGUUAUGUCUCAUUUAUUACUACCUAUAUGAAGAUCGGCGUCAUAGUUUUUAAAGAGAGGUGAGUAAUUGAUUUUACUAAGUAGCAUUUUCAUUUAUAUUUACACUUUAUAGUUCAUAUAAUAUAUAUCUACCUAAAUAAUAUAAAUUAAGCGAUUUAGUUCUUUUUCUUGUAAGCUCUUGUAUAAAAAGUUCUCUUUAUAACUCACUUAAUUUUAAGUAAGCACAGUUUAGAAAUGUUUUUAACGUUAAUUUUCUGCUUGUUACAGAUUCCAGAAGGGCAGUUUUAUAAAGGUAGGAUUUUUUCUUUUAUUCAUUUCAUUUCAGCAGUGGGGGAAAAGUGAAUAGUGUCUAAAGAAGUUUUCAAUGGAUUCUCGUACAUCGUAAGUACAGUGUAAGUUGUCUUCUCAUCUUGGUAAGAAGAUUGAUUGCAAUGAUUCUUCGAAUGGUCUCUCUGGCAGGAUCAAUCAUUUGCAUCAUAUUAACGUGUAGGACUGUGAAUUCAUAGUUGUACUUUUUUUUAUGAAGUAAAGCGAUUGUCCUUGCGAACGAGCCUGUAAAAGACACAUUGAAAUCAGUCUUCCGUUUCCAAGUUGACUGAUAGUCAACGCCUUAUUAUUUUUGUUUUUUCUUUUGGUUGUGCAUCUGGGGUGCAUGAUCAUAAUACAUAAUACAUUUUGCUUAUAGUAUACCAAUUUGGAAGCAGUUCGGUUGGCAGGUGUGACCUUACAAUUAGUACUGUUUUAAAUUAAGGCUCAUUUCAUAAGGUGUUAUAACUAUCGUGUAGUGA
Molecule: long non-coding RNA, 3236 nt
Organism: Photinus pyralis (common eastern firefly)
Lineage: Eukaryota; Metazoa; Arthropoda; Insecta; Coleoptera; Lampyridae
Exons: 12
Source: RefSeq, a predicted model, not a curated record